UUCCCCACCUGUGUGUAAUCUCCCUGUGUUUCUCUGUGUGUAUUUAAGUCACGUCUUUAGUCAUUGUAGUGGCUGGUCCGUCUGUGUAUCCACCAUGUUCCACUCGUGUGUCUGGUGUUAAAUAGUCAUGUCAAGUUGCAAUCGUGUAUUUUGUUCACCUUGUACAUAUUCUUCACUGCAGCAGCCUAGUAGGUGUGAGAAGCCAUUUUUGUUGAUUAAGUUUUCUCCUGUUUUUUGUUAGAAAGUUAGGGUGGUGAUCCAAAUCAGCGUGGAGCAGAAUGCACCAUAGAGAUGUACAACUCUUCUGUUGAACACCUCAAGACUGAAGACUGCAAGGAAAGAAAGGUAAUCUACACCGAGCAUCUGAAGAACAACAUGCAAGUCCUCCAGCACAUUCAAUCCAAAACCUGUUCCAGUUCCUCAGACACCAUCAGAGACUGUCUGGAUAAAAAGAAACUUUGCCAACCACUGCAAGUAUCAAGUGUUUUAAAUUUUGUUUGACUGUUUAUUAUGUACUUAUUUGUUUUUGGUUGUAUUAAUUUUGAUAUUAAUUAGAUCAGUGCCUUUUUAGUCAUUAAUUUGAUCAUUAAAUAUUAACUGCUUAGGGCAGCAC
Oreochromis niloticus (Nile tilapia) is the source of this 613-nucleotide long non-coding RNA. RefSeq lists it as uncharacterized. Lineage: Eukaryota; Metazoa; Chordata; Actinopteri; Cichliformes; Cichlidae. The record is from RefSeq and is a predicted model, not a curated record. The transcript is spliced from 3 exons.